Molecule: ribosomal RNA, 504 nt
Filed under: Paraclostridium bifermentans
Lineage: Bacteria; Bacillati; Bacillota; Clostridia; Peptostreptococcales; Peptostreptococcaceae
Description: bacterial SSU rRNA
Rfam family: Bacterial small subunit ribosomal RNA
Source: RNAcentral
GCUGGCGGCGUGCCUAACACAUGCAAGUCGAGCGAUCUCUUCGGAGAGAGCGGCGGACGGGUGAGUAACGCGUGGGUAACCUGCCCUGUACACACGGAUAACAUACCGAAAGGUAUACUAAUACGGGAUAACAUACGAAAGUCGCAUGGCUUUUGUAUCAAAGCUCCGGCGGUACAGGAUGGACCCGCGUCUGAUUAGCUAGUUGGUAAGGUAAUGGCUUACCAAGGCAACGAUCAGUAGCCGACCUGAGAGGGUGAUCGGCCACACUGGAACUGAGACACGGUCCAGACUCCUACGGGAGGCAGCAGUGGGGAAUAUUGCACAAUGGGCGAAAGCCUGAUGCAGCAACGCCGCGUGAGCGAUGAAGGCCUUCGGGUCGUAAAGCUCUGUCCUCAAGGAAGAUAAUGACGGUACUUGAGGAGGAAGCCCCGGCUAACUACGUGCCAGCAGCCGCGGUAAUACGUAGGGGGCUAGCGUUAUCCGGAAUUACUGGGCGUAAAGGGU